Molecule: ribosomal RNA, 433 nt
Filed under: uncultured bacterium
Lineage: Bacteria
Description: partial 16S ribosomal RNA
Rfam family: Bacterial small subunit ribosomal RNA
Source: RNAcentral
AACGAACGCUGGCGGCAUGCCUAACACAUGCGAGUCGAACGAGACCUUCGGGUCUAGUGGCGCACGGGUGCGUAACGCGUGGGAAUCUGCCCUUGGGUUCGGAAUAACAGUUUGAAACGACUGCUAAUACCGGAUGAUGACGUAAGUCCAAAGAUUUAUCGCCCAGGGAUGAGCCCGCGUAGGAUUAGCUAGUUGGUGGGGUAAAGGCCUACCAAGGCGACGAUCCUUAGCUGGUCUGAGAGGAUGAUCAGCCACACUGGGACUGAGACACGGCCCAGACUCCUACGGGAGGCAGCAGUGGGGAAUAUUGGACAAUGGGCGAAAGCCUGAUCCAGCAAUGCCGCGUGAGUGAUGAAGGCCUUAGGGUUGUAAAGCUCUUUUACCCGGGAUGAUAAUGACAGUACCGGGAGAAUAAGCCCCGGCUAACUCCGUG